AAAUUUCAUCAUGUAAAUAACAGUCAAUAUAUUAAUAAGCCACGAUAAAAUAAAUAAGUAAUAACUAAUUUUAGCUUAAAAUUAAUUACAUGGAGUUUAUUUUAACGAGAACAUAUUCAAUUGGCAAUUGAUUGUCGCCUAGAGGGGGUGAAUAGACGAAACCUGAAAUUUAGAACAGGAUAAACAUUAGUUGGAGUAUAGAACUAAGUUCUAUUCUUGCAAAAAAGUGUUGCAUUCAAAGAAUACAGAAUAAACUCAAAGCAACAAAACUAAAUAUAUAAGGAGAAUAGAGCAAGAAGGCUUAUAUAAGGAGAAGAAUAAAACUAGUUCUUAGUUGCUUCUUAGAAUGAGACUUUAAAUGGAAGCAACACAAAAUAGUAACAAUGAAGAAUAGCGCAAGAGAACUUUAGAGAAGGAGAAGAUAAACAAAUCACAAACAAUAAACACAAGAGACAUGGGUGAUUUGUUUUUAUCAAAGUUUGGUUCACCAAGAACCUAAUCCUCGUUGAGGAGUCCACAAAGGACAGGUCUUUUUCAACCCUUUCCGUCUCUCCAAAGACCAGUGAGUGUUCCUUCUUCUUUGUCAACAAAAGAUCAAAGUCUCCAUAAGGCGAACCACAAAGAUAAAGUUGCCUUGCUAGCUUGCCACACAGAGGAAGUCAACGAGCACUUCUUCCUAUUUGGGGUCGAGCUCGGAGCUAAUCCUGAGCGUCUUGUCGCUAGAGCUGCUGGGAUCGAGGGGAUGGUCUUGGUUGCCUCGGCUGGCACAAAGUUGUUGGCAUGUCUCUUGGGGUCAGAGACCUCGUUGACGAGGUUCUCCAGAUCGAUAAUGAGUGCCACAGACUCGACGAGAGACUCGGUGUAUUCGACGCACUAGACGCCACACUCGUAGGGGUGGAGGUAUGUGGGGCCGACGGUGAUGACUCCCAUCGGGCCUAACAUUUUCAGCUUGAGGUAGGUGUAGUUUGGUUUGGCCAUGAACUUGGCGUAGCACGACCUUUUGAAAGGGAAAUGGCCUUAAGCAUUUUCUAUAACCGAUUUUGGCGCUUGACGACCAUCACAAAUCGUAUGGACUUACUAGUUUGCCUAGUUGAUUAUUUCUCAGGUGCAUAAGUCCAUCUAUAUCAAUUCUAAAUCAACAGUCUAGAAUACCGUAGAUUAUUCCGGAUAGGAGAAGCUUUUUGGAAAAUUCACCUGUGCUUGGACCGUCUGAGCCCUUCUGGCGGAUCGUCCGUGACACCAAGGUGUGCCUCGAACAGAAACUAUGCAAAACUCGCAUUUACACUACGAACUGUCCGAAGGAGAAGAUAGCACGGUCUGGGACCAAGCUCGGACCGUUCGGCCUCCGGCACGCACGUCCGCUCAUUGAAAAACCAGAAGAACUCGAAGGUGACGGGUUCGAUAAAAUGCAUUUUUAGUGUCCUCGCGGAUCGUUCGGGGUGCAUGGCCGGACCGUCUGCGACUGCUUUAUCUAACAUCUGACGACACAUUUAAUGCACUUGUAGCCAUUGAUAUAGCUGUUACUGCUGAUGGUUCUGAUUUCAGCCGUUGAUGUGCAGGGGCGGACCGUCCGGACCAAGGGCACGAAUCGUCCGCGGUUGGUAGAAAGGAGGCAACGACUAGGAAGUAGUUGGUGGCUAUAAAUACAACCCCAACCACCUCCAUUCAAUCCAUCCAAGCAUAUCAUUCACUCACAUUCAAUACAAGAGCAAGUACUCCAUCCCAAGACACAUUCAAAGCUUCCAAGUCUCUCCAAGUGCCAUAAUUGUGACUAGUGAUCAUUAGUAUUUAGUGUCUUGGGAAGUCUAGAGAGAGUGUGACUCGGUGCUUCAUUUGUUGCUCUUGUUGCUUGGUUUUCUUAAUCGUGAUUUCUUCAUCUCCUUUUAAAGUCUCAAGUGACUUGCAAAGCUAGCAAGAGACACAUAAAUGUGUGGUGAUCCUUGUGGGGUCUAAGUGACCCUUGAGAUUAAGGAGAAGCACUCAACCAGUCUAAGUGACCAUUUGAGAGAGGGAAAGGGUUGAAAGAGACCAAGCCUACAUGGCCUCGUCAGCGGGGAGUAGGUUCUUUGGAACUGAACCUCGGGAAACAAAUCGUUGUGUUCACUUGUGUUGAUCAUUACCUUAUGAUUUGAUUCUUCCUCUCCCCUCUCUCUAAGUUCUCUUGCUUACAAUCUUUUUGAGUUUGCUCCCAAAGUUAUCUGCAUUGAUCAAGCAACUCAUUGCAAGAAGAACUCUCCUCCGCACUCUGAUUUCGUUAUUACUCAUUUCUAAUCCUAACCCCGAGUAAAGUUCGUGUUCAAAAUUAUAAUUUUCAUGUUUCACCGAGUCACCCCCUCCAGACGACUUUCACCUUCCCAAAAUAACAUGGUAGGUACCUCGAAAGUGAGGACCUCCUUCCUAAAGUUGGAUGGGGUCCCGAAACAGAUGGGCAGAUUGAUCUACCCGAGGGGAUGAACUCUUCUGUUAGGGGUGAUACCGUGGAAUGGCUCGGCUACAGCCCGAACCUAGGACCGACUGAUCCCUAUGAGCUCCAAGGUCUCAACAUAGAUUAUGUUAAGGCUGCUGCCUCCAUCCAUGAGAAUCUUGGAGAGCCUAGUGUUGCUGAUGGCUGGGUCACGACAAGCGGGUACUUCCUUGGGUACGGGACGUAGUCUGUGUGGUCAUCUCGGUCGAAGGUGAUGGCUUUGUUGGACCAGUCUAGAUAGACCGGCGCCGCUACUUCGACGGAGAAGACCUCCCGUUGUUCUUGCUUCCAUUGUAUCAAGGAGAGGUUCACCAUUUGCCUAUCGAAGAUCAUGCAAUUAUGGACAUCCGGGAACUCCUCGCCCUAGUCGUUGCCCUUGUUACCGGAGCCUUUCUUCUUGCUAUCAUAUGUAGAGGGGUCGGGCUUGUUGUAGUAACACCAGAGCAUGUCACACUUCUUGAGGGUAUGCUUGAUGGGCCCUUGUGGUAAGGGCAAGACUCCUUCAACAUCUUGUCUAAUACGUUGGGGCCCUGUGGGGGCUUCAGGGGUUUCUUUUGUCUAUAGCGACGACAAGAUCCACCUCGAGGGCUUCGUGCUUGCCUUGCGGCGCCUUAUUUUUCUUGUUCUUCUUGGGGUUGCGUUGGGUGAUCGCCUUGGGGGCGUCCUCCUUCCGCUGCCCUUGUCCUUGUGGAAAAUGGUCUCAACGACCUCCUGACCCGAAGCGAAUUUGGUGGUGAUGUCCAUCAAUCCGCUUGCUUUGGUGGGGGUCUUGUGACCCAACUUGCUGACUAAAUGUCAGCAGGUGGUGCCGGUGAGGAAAGCCGCGAUGACGUCUGAGUCAGUGAUGUUGGGGAGCUCGGUGCGCUGCUUGGAGAAUCGUCGUAUGUGCUCAUGCAGAGUCUCAUCCUGCUUCUACCGACAACUCCAAAGGUCCCUGGAAUUUCUGGGACACACAUAUUUGCCUUGGAAGUUCCCCCCCACAACCUUGACCAGGUCAUCCUAGUCAUGGAUUUGGGCAGGUAGAAGGUGCUUAAGCUAUGCUCGAGAAGAGUCGGAUAGGAACAUGGGUAGGUUAAGAAUGGUGAGAUUGUCAUCAUUCGUUCCUCCUAGAUAAUAGGCCAGGCGAUAGGCAAUGAGCCAUAGCUCUGGCUUGGUUUCCCCCGAGUACUUGGCAAUAGUACUCAAGGCUCGAAAUCGGGCUAGGAAUGGUGCCCUACGUAUGGCUUAGCGGAAGACCUAAGGACCUAGAGGCUCGAGCGAGGGGCUUCAAUCUUCCCCACUAUCGUAGCGACCACCCCGCCGAGGGUGGUAGCUAUGAGCGGCAUGACGUCGGUGGUUGUGGUGCAGCCGCUCGCCAAGGUGAUCACGAACAACACUGUGUUGACGAUUGUUGAGGAGGCAGUCUCGAAUUGGGGGGGAUUUGUCCUUUUAUGGGCUCGAGAUGGAUCGAGGCCUCCCUCUCUGGGUGAGAGGGCCCCGCUCGGCGUCUCGAGGCGGGCUCCCGAAGCUGAGAGGCAGAACUCUUGGCCUGCUGGACUACAACGCACUCUAGGAGACCCCUGAUCUCGACGUGGAUUCAGUGCCCUUCAGUGGUUGAUGGUUCUAGCAUUGUUCGAAGCAAGAUUGUCGCCGCAGCGAGGUUCAGGCUGGCCCUAUGAAAGGUCAGAGGGGGUCAGCCCUGUGUCUUUCAUGAUGCGGCGGUGGACAUCGCGUGACUUGGUACGUGCCCCCCGUUGGGGCUCGGUCUGUUGUUUCCUGCUUGAGAACGUGCUGAAGCUGUUGUAGCCAUACCUUGUUCUUCUUGGAGCUUGGCAUGUAGCUCGCGGAGCUAUUCAAGGUGCGCGAUCUGACUCCUCAUGGGGGUAUGAUCCGCACCUUGUUCCCUUGGUUCUUCGGCGUGUGGUGCUGGCGUCAGGGCGUUGGCCUCCCAAGGCAUGCCAAGCUGCUUUCCCUCUCUGUGCUCCUCGUGCUCAAUAUGGAAGCACUCCCGAAUCAGGUCGUAACCCUCAUCAGUGGAUCUGUAGUCGUUGGAACCAUCAGAGAGGUAGUAGUCACAUGCGAACAAUAAAUGCCGCAUGGCCCUGGGAUCAUGGAGCCCGGAGAAUUCUAGGCCAGGACUCAAAUCAUCCCCUACCUCUAAGCCUACAUACUCCAAGUUUGGAGAGGUUGCAAGCAGAUCUAAUGUCGACCGCAGAUGAUGACCUGGGAGUUCCUCAUACAUACUUGUGUAGGUGCUUGUCGAAUGGGGGUAUCCUGGAGGAUCGAAGCUAAACCGGAAGGGGACAGAAUUGAAUACCGAUGGUACCUCCCGACUCACUGGUGGAGCCAGCACCUCUCGACCCACAGGAGGGGAGCCGGUGAAGUUGGCACCUCCCAAUCCGUGGGAAGGGGAGCCGGUGGAGUCAGCGUUGGAGCAACGUAUGUUGAUGUCGAUGCUUCGAGUAUGAAGCUAACGCACGACAGGUCCCUCGCAAGGGAGUCCGCAUUGUCAGUCUGCCUAGAAGCACCGGUUGGGCGUGGAGCGCUGCCCAUAGCACAGUUGCGGUCGUUCCAUCUCUAUCUCCUCCCGCGAGAAGGACGGCGACGGAGGUCUGGAUGUCCCAUAGCACAGUGAGCACGACUGAUAUACCGGUUUUACACUCUACAGAGGUUGCACAUCUUUACCCACAAAUCAUGUUACCCAUCUACCAAGGGACCGCGACUCCCAUACACCUCUACCACGGAAGCAAGGCAGGGUAACACUACGAGGCCUUUACAAAGUUCCACUAGCUUCAGAAAACCCGCUAUAGUUUUUAGGAAGCUCCAAUGCAGGGAUUCCUCGCCUGACCGCCAUCGCAGCAAAAUCAACCCAAGGACCUCCCUACACUGACCACUCCCCUACUGCUCUUGCCCUUUUCGGGUAAGGUAGUCCUCCACUAGCUUUCCUAAUUAGUCAGCUAAGGGCGUCCCAUACCACCCUUGUGAUAGCACUGUUUUCCCGGAUGGUCACUCAAUGUUCCAAUUAACAUAAUGAUCUUAUCAUGAACAGUAAAUAACAACUGAUAAUAAAAGUAUGAUCAUGAAUAAUGUGUAUCUCCAUACCCAAAACCACAUAAAGCAAUAUCAGAUACUACCCAAAAAAUCAGUGGUAAACAAGGUAUAAAGAUAGCCAAACUAGGGUAACCUAUUGGGUCCCAUCAAAUUUAACCUAUGCACAUCAUCAUGAUUUAAAGAAACAUUAUUGGGAAAAUAGAAGUGAUCAAGGGCAUAACUUACCAUAAACGAGCUCCUGCUCAGCAGUCUCCACCUGCUGAACACCCGGAUCCUCUAUGGCUGGCUCGUCCACUCGCAACAAUACAAACAAGAACAGGAUAGCAGAAAUUAACAUCACAUCAGGCAGCAGAACAAAAUUCAUGAUAAUAUUCUACGCGUCGUAACAAGAUCGUAGGAACAAGAAUCACUAAAUUUGGAGUUACGGUUAUUAAGUUAUGAAUUUCUAAAGUUAUUUAGUGCCUAGUAUAAAAUAAUUCAGGUGAAUAAUUUUAAUCCAAAUUUCAUGGCUAAAUAGAGUUAAUAGGUGAUAAACAAUAUUAAAACAAAAUUAAUGCCGCUGGAAUGGAUCAAUUUGAAGUUAAAAUGAAUUAAAUAUGAAUUAUACAAGUUUCUGGAAUUAUUUUUUUUACUAAAAAUCAAUUUCUAUAAUUAAUUAUCUGAUUUAUCUGUUCUUUGGACUGCGCGCCAUUUACUAAAGAGUUCCGGGGCUAACGUAUAAAAAUCCCCAAGACUCAGUUUGAUACAGCGAUGGACUGCAAGUUAAUUCAGAUAUUGUUUAGGGUCUCUUAAAUAAGUUUACCGGUCGAAGGGGGUAUGAGCUAACGCAUACCGCACGAUGUGCCAUAUUAGAUUUCAAUUAAACCGAAUCGGUACUCAUUCGCAGUCGUCGGAUGCAGGUCCGAUGGUCCCGAGACAUCAAUCCUCCGAUCCAACCGAGACCAUCAGAUGGACACCUGGUGGUCAGGAUUACACUCAUCGCAUAGCUACUUUAGUUCAAAUCGUGGCCACACAACGGUGAAUCAACGACAGACGAGCUACCGGGGCCAGGAUCUAAUCCGACCGCACGCCCGGAAUCCAACGGUUGCAUACACAUCGGCCGAACCGUUACCUAGCGCCUAAUCUCGGCCAUCCGCCAAUGGUUCGACGACCGAGAUCGCCCGCCCCCACUGGUGACGAAACACGGCGACGGCGUCCGGUUCCCGCGGCGGUGCCAUAGGUGACACUUGCCCUUGGUCGAGGUGAUGACCUAAACUUAACGUCGGUAUGUGGUAAACGAUGCAGAGGUGAUGACGAAGGUUUUUGUGAAGUUUCAUACCUAAGUUUGAAGUGGAUCACUCACGACCACGGCCACGUGUGGAUCGACGAG
RNAcentral lists this long non-coding RNA (6863 nucleotides) under Zea mays. RNAcentral's name for it is "long non-coding RNA (ZMAY_LNC002694)". The record is from RNAcentral. Lineage: Eukaryota; Viridiplantae; Streptophyta; Magnoliopsida; Poales; Poaceae.